UAUAUUAAUAUUAAAUAAUUGAUUCUAAAAUAAUAUAAUAAAAUUAUCAAAAAAUUUUAAAAUAAGAUAAUUCUUAUAUAUAUUUUGUUGUUAUCUGAAGACAAUAUUUUUAUUAUAAAAGUUAAAAAGAAACAAAAAAUUAUAAUUAAAUAUUAUUCAAGAAAAAAUAUUUAUAUAAUGAUAUUUUCUAAACUAUUUCUAAGAUAUGAGUGUUUAAAAAACUUUUAACACGGGAUGUUUAGAAUACAGAAUUAUGCUUAUGAGAGAGUGGCUCGGGAAUGAGCUUCAAGAUGGGUCGAAUGGGCUCUGAAAAUAGCUUUUUAUUUUGACGCAAGCCCAGUCCGGAUGACAUGGCAUCUUGGUUGGUUCAUAAUAUUUUAUCCAUGUGGCAUGGCUUAGAAAGAAGGGAUUUAGUCCCUUUUAUAUAGUAGGAUUAGUAUGGAUAAUCAGAGCUCUGCUAGAUAUGAUGAAUGAGAAGUGGGCAUAACAACAAGGAAGCUAGAGUGUGUGGUCUACUGACAUUUUUUCUUUUCUUAUGCUGUUUGUCACUGUACCACUAGUUUUAUGUUUCGAAGAAGAGGAAACCACCCCGUCCGUCACCAAAUUUGAAGUCUGGGAGGAAUGAGAAACACACGUGAAGGUGGCUGGAGAAAGGUCUCCUGGAGACAAAGGCACUUUGGACAGUUACUUGAAAGCAUCUUCCCUGGAUGACAAGAACACUACUUACUACCAAGUACCAACAGUGUGUUGCAGGCAAGGCAGCAAGCGUUUACAAAAAAAAAAAAAAUUGGGAUUAUGACUUUGUCCCAGGAAUGAGCAUAUCCUAUUGUCCCAAUUAUCAAAGAGCACCCCACUUUGGCAAAGCUCUCGAAUGGAUCAAUUUGUUCGCUUGCUUAAGCACGCAAAGGUACACUUUGCAUGGCCACUGGCUUCAAACGUCGACAGCAACUGGGCGGCUUUCCAUAGAAGAAGAGCCAAGUAUGACUUCUUUUGAUUUCUUUGUUCCUACUCUCAGGUAAAUUUUCCAUGUUUCUAAAAGUUCAAGUCAAAAGACGUGACAUAUCUCUAAAACGAGUUCUGCAAGUGAAAGCAUUUAUGAAGAAGACUCAAUAAUGAUAUUUUUCACCACAUGAAAAUUGGUUACUCUUGACGGCAGAUUGAUUAUUCACAGAUAGCACAUUUUUUCUAGAGAUUCCUCGUUGAUUGCACAGCCUUAGUCAGCCAGAAGGUGAUGUCUUUACAAAUGAUGGUCCACAUGAUAGAGAUCAGACCAAAAGAUUGAUUUAUGGAAUGGGUGCCAACAGGCUUGCCGAACAGCUUGAAUGCAGCUCAGAUGAAGAAGCCAAGGAGAAAAUUAGAAGCUUUUUAAAAAUUCUUUCCCUGCAGUCACGUCUUGGCUUAACGAAACAGUUUCAUUUUUGCCAGGAAAAAGGGUGAGUAUGCUACACUUAUCUUCAUUAAUGCUUCUUAUAUUACACUUAGAUUUUGAUUAAUUUGUUUUUAUUUCUUUGGAUGUGCUUUACUUCUUUAUAUUGUUGCCCACUCUUUAUAUUGUUUCGGUUUUUUUUCUUAAGUUGUUAAUUUUCAUACUUCUUCCUGCAAGUUGAUGAUUGUUCAUAUUGUCUAUAUAGCUCAUUAAAGUAAUGAUGGGACCAUUCAUUAUGCAGGUACAUGAUGAACUCGUGCUGGAAGUUGAUCCUUUCUUACGCCAAAGAAGCUGGUAUUGUUGCUGCAAUCCAGCAUGGAAAAUGCGGUUUCACUUCUCGUCCCUCUACAUGUGAAACUGAAGAUUGGGAAAAACAUGGGGGUUCUUUAGAGCCGCUUCAGGCUCUGAUGAUUAAAGACAUCGGCAAAAAUCUCAGUGUCUUUUAAAUCUCAAUUUAAGAGCCUCGGAUUUUGUUUGAGCAACUCGCUCACAUGUUGUAUUUGAUGGCUCAAAAAUCAAAAUGCUCCCCACAUCCAUGGAUUGACUCAGUGAGAUGCUCUGUUUCAUCUUCAUGAAGUGAUGAAGAAAAAUGAUAUCAGUGGCUUCUUUGUGACAUUGAAUAUGGGAGGUGGAGAGGAAUGGAAAGGGAUUUUCUCCUGCCGUGUGUUCUGGGGGCUCUUCGUUUUAAGCUUCAAAGAGAGUCUGUAACCACUAAGAGUUGCCUCAGUUUUACUUACACAGUGCCUUUUGACGCGACCAAAAAUCAUAUAGAAAGAACCUCUUUUGACGCGCUCUAGCUCUCUGGAUUCGAUCCCUAAGUACUACAACUAAACUUAUUUUGACGAGUGUAAAGUUUCUCACAGGUAAAUUGAGCAUGUAUCAGACUAUGAUAUGUUUAUGGUUGUUUUGUUCGGCACAAAAAAAUAUUAUUAUUUUCUCUUGUAAUAUCAACACAUAUUUCAUAAUGAACAUGUGAUAGGCUAUGGAUUUUACCCAUUUUUAACUAUGGUUUGUAAGUGUUUUAAUAACUAACUAGAUAAUAACCCGCGCCUUGCGCGGGAUGUGAUUAUUAGUUUUGUUAUUUUUAAUAAAAACACACUAAAUUUGUUUAAUCUGGAUAUCGGUUCGGUUUUAAGUUAUUUUUUUGGUUUUUAAUCUCCUAAAAUAUAACCAUUAUUUUAAAUUAAUAUUUAUUUUGGUUUGUUCUGUUAGAAUGUUUGAUUUUUUAGUUUUUUUUGGUAAAAACCAAAAAUUACUAUUAUUUGUUUAUUUUCAUGUUAUAAAUUUAAGAUAAUCGUCAUGUCGAACCAAUGUUUUUAUAUCAUAGUUUGUAAGCGGAUAAUAGUUCAAGAAAAAGAAAAGAAAAUUAUUAAGAUAAAUCAUUUCACUACAAUUUGGUCGGUAGUGAAAGACGCAUUAAGAAAAAAAAUAUUUCAACUUCCAAAAAAAAAUAGAUACUUCAGUGGUGGCAGUGGUGGUAAA
Molecule: long non-coding RNA, 2908 nt
Organism: Brassica rapa (field mustard)
Lineage: Eukaryota; Viridiplantae; Streptophyta; Magnoliopsida; Brassicales; Brassicaceae
Source: RefSeq, a predicted model, not a curated record